This 406-nucleotide ribosomal RNA is filed under the name uncultured bacterium. Its description in RNAcentral is "partial 16S ribosomal RNA". It matches the Rfam family "Bacterial small subunit ribosomal RNA", at positions 29 to 526 of the family's 1533-position model. The record is from RNAcentral.
AUUGAACGCUGGCGGCAGGCCUAACACAUGCAAGUCGAGCGAGCGGCGGACGGGUGAGUAAUGUAUGGGGAUCUGCCCGAUAGAGGGGGAUAACUACUGGAAACGGUGGCUAAUACCGCAUACUAUCAGAUGAACCCACAUGGGAUUAGCUGGUAGGUGGGGUAAAGGCUCACCUAGGCGACGAUCCCUAGCUGGUCGGAGAGGAUGAUCAGCCACACUGGAACUGAGACACGGCCCAGACUCCUACGGGAGGCGGCAGUGGGGAAUAUUGGACAAUGGGCGAAAGCCGGAUGCAGCCAUGCCGCGUGUAUGAAGAAGGCCUUAGGGUUGUAAAGUACUUUCAGCGGGGAGGCGUUACCCGCAGAAGAAGCGCCGGCUAACUCCGUGCCAGCAGCCGCGGUAAUUC